AAACUUGAGAGUUUGAUCCUGGCUCAGAACGAACGCUGGCGGCAUGCCUAAUACAUGCAAGUCGAACGAGAUCUUCGGAUCUAGUGGCGCACGGGUGCGUAACGCGUGGGAAUCUACCCUUGGGUUCGGAAUAACAGUUAGAAAUGACUGCUAAUACCGGAUGAUGACGUAAGUCCAAAGAUUUAUCGCCCAAGGAUGAGCCCGCGUAGGAUUAGCUUGUUGGUGAGGUAAAAGCUCACCAAGGCGACGAUCCUUAGCUGGUCUGAGAGGAUGAUCAGCCACACUGGGACUGAGACACGGCCCAGACUCCUACGGGAGGCAGCAGUAGGGAAUAUUGGACAAUGG
RNAcentral lists this ribosomal RNA (345 nucleotides) under Alphaproteobacteria bacterium. Its description in RNAcentral is "bacterial SSU rRNA". It matches the Rfam family "Bacterial small subunit ribosomal RNA", at positions 1 to 374 of the family's 1533-position model. Lineage: Bacteria; Pseudomonadati; Pseudomonadota; Alphaproteobacteria. The record is from RNAcentral.